RNAcentral lists this ribosomal RNA (253 nucleotides) under uncultured bacterium. RNAcentral describes it as "partial 16S ribosomal RNA". It matches the Rfam family "Bacterial small subunit ribosomal RNA", at positions 524 to 776 of the family's 1533-position model. The record is from RNAcentral.
GACGAACUGUGCAAACGUUAUUCGGAAUCACUGGGCUUAAAGGGUGCGUAGGUGGGUCUGUAAGUCAGUGGUGAAAUCUCCGGGCUUAACCCGGAAACUGCCAUUGAUACUAUAGGUCUUGAAUAUCCUGGAGGUGAGCGGAAUAUGUCAUGUAGCGGUGAAAUGCUUAGAUAUGACAUAGAACACCAAUUGCGAAGGCAGCUCACUACGGGAUUAUUGACACUGAGGCACGAAAGCGUGGGGAUCAAACAGG